AAAUCACUUGAGUUUUGGGAAGCAAUAAGAAUUCUUGAGAGCAUUCACUCAAAUUUCUCUCCCUCUUGCGUUCUUACUCUCUGUGUGUUAAGAGCUCGAAGGUCGGAUUUGGUUGGAGACACAUCACACUAUCAACCUCAGGAUUUCGGUAUAUAAAGAAACUUUAUUUUGGAAAUCAAUGGCAUGUAUAAGCUAAUAAAGUAAAUGUUAACGUGAAAUGAAUAUAAAGUUAGCCAUUAGUAUGGUUAACAAACCUGGUUUUGGGUAUGUGAUGAUGUUAUCUUAUAAAUAUGCAUGAAUUUAUCUUGAAAAUAUGUUGAAUUGGUUUGGUUGAAA
This is a long non-coding RNA of Gossypium arboreum, 336 nucleotides long. RefSeq lists it as uncharacterized. Lineage: Eukaryota; Viridiplantae; Streptophyta; Magnoliopsida; Malvales; Malvaceae. The transcript is spliced from 2 exons. The record is from RefSeq and is a predicted model, not a curated record.